RNAcentral lists this ribosomal RNA (468 nucleotides) under uncultured bacterium. RNAcentral's name for it is "partial 16S ribosomal RNA". It matches the Rfam family "Bacterial small subunit ribosomal RNA", at positions 28 to 507 of the family's 1533-position model. The record is from RNAcentral.
GACGAACGCUGGCGGCGUGCUUAACACAUGCAAGUCGAACGGAAAGGCCCUGCUUUUGUGGGGUGCUCGAGUGGCGAACGGGUGAGUAACACGUGAGUAACCUGCCCUUGACUUUGGGAUAACUUCAGGAAACUGGGGCUAAUACCGGAUAGGAGCUCCUGCUGCAUGGUGGGGGUUGGAAAGUUUCGGCGGGUGGGGAAGGACUCGCGGCUUAUCAGUUUGUUGGUGGGGUAGUGGCUUACCAAGGCUUUGACGGGUAGCCGGCCUGAGAGGGUGACCGGCCACAUUGGGACUGAGAUACGGACGAGACUCCUACGGGAGGCAGCAGUGGGGAAUAUAGCACAAUGGGCGGAAGCCUGAUGCAGCAACGCAGCGUGCGGGAUGACGGCCUUCGGGUUGUAAACCGCUUUCGCCUGUGACGAAGCGAGAGUGACGGUAAUGGGUAAAGAAGCACCGGCUAACUACGUG